This 234-nucleotide ribosomal RNA is filed under the name Enterococcus faecium. RNAcentral describes it as "partial 16S ribosomal RNA". It matches the Rfam family "Bacterial small subunit ribosomal RNA", at positions 1 to 222 of the family's 1533-position model. The record is from RNAcentral. Lineage: Bacteria; Bacillati; Bacillota; Bacilli; Lactobacillales; Enterococcaceae. RNAcentral also lists the same sequence under 1 other name.
UUUUAUGAGAGUUUGAUCCUGGCUCAGGACGAACGCUGGCGGCGUGCCUAAUACAUGCAAGUCGAACGCUUCUUUUUCCACCGGAGCUUGCUCCACCGGAAAAAGAAGAGUGGCGAACGGGUGAGUAACACGUGGGUAACCUGCCCAUCAGAAGGGGAUAACACUUGGAAACAGGUGCUAAUACCGUAUAACAAUCAAAACCGCAUGGUUUUGAUUUGAAAGGCGCUUUCGGGU